This 72-nucleotide transfer RNA is filed under the name Camelus bactrianus (Bactrian camel). It matches the Rfam family "tRNA". From Rfam's summary of the family: Transfer RNA (tRNA) molecules are approximately 80 nucleotides in length. Their secondary structure includes four short double-helical elements and three loops (D, anti-codon, and T loops). The record is from Rfam by way of RNAcentral. RNAcentral also lists the same sequence under 3 other names. Lineage: Eukaryota; Metazoa; Chordata; Mammalia; Artiodactyla; Camelidae.
GUGGGUAUAGCUCGGUGGUAGAGCACAUGCUUAGCAUGCACAAGGUCCUGGGUUCGAUCCUCAGUACCUCCA